CCAACAUGUAAAGAGCUUAGAAGUCAUCACUACCAUCUUACAGGAAGCUGUUUUAUGAGUGACAUAAGGAGAGCACACACAGGAAUGAGCUGAGGCAGAGUAUAGUGAAAUUGGUACAUGAAAUAAUGAAGAAAAGAUGCACUCAUUGGUGGGAAUUGAAUCUAGUUGCCCUCUGUAGGCCCAAUUUCUCUGCUGCAAAGAAGGCUCCUGGUAUUUACAGCCAUUUAAAAGAAAGGCAAGGAAAUGUCCAUAAAGGAUUUUAAUGGAUUCCUAAUAACAUUAACUUAGCUCGAUACUCUCUGCUCCUCUUAGACUGAUUUUUAAAAGUUUUCCUAGAAUGUGAGCAGUUCCUCAGUUUACAGGUUAAAAGAAAGAGUUGCCCUCCCAGAGACAAGUUAGACUACCCUCUAAAGAGUGCUGUCAAACCAAUACUGUGCCAGGCCACAGGAGAGACAUCCUGAUGAAUGCUGGAACUUGGCUAUUGCUAUCAUGGUUUAUAAGCAUAACAGAUAGCCUAGACACUAUGGAUGGAAGCUUGGAAUAUCAUCGGAUAGAGUGGCACCAUCAGAGGAAUUCCUGGUAUUACCAAAUGAAGUAGGCAUGGGAACAGUUUUUGUGACAAAUAUUUUGGAUGUCUUCACUCUACCCCUCACCCACUGUAGGGAAGUGAAGGCAUGAGAAUUUGAACAGAAGAGACACCCUACUACCUGUACUUCCUACACAAGACCCAGUGACCACAGGCUCCCAACAAAUGAGCCAGGCCUCUGCUUAUUCUUCAACACGCAUAUCACAUCACCCUAGCAAGAAAUGGAUUUCCUCUGCAUUAUUGUUUAUCUGGAGAGAAUAACAGUUCACAAAGUCCAAUCAGAUCAAAGCAACUUCAUGAUCGAAUUAAGCCUCACAUGGAUUCAAAAACACUUCUAUUGAGUACCUGUGACAUUGCAUAAAAUGACUACAGCUUCAAGCACAAUGUCAAUGAAAUAAAAGUUAUACCUUGUGAAAUA
RNAcentral lists this long non-coding RNA (1004 nucleotides) under Homo sapiens (human). RNAcentral's name for it is "HSALNT0313250". Lineage: Eukaryota; Metazoa; Chordata; Mammalia; Primates; Hominidae. The record is from RNAcentral.